GACGAACGCUGGCGGCGUGCCUAAUACAUGCAAGUAGAACGCUGAAGACUUUAGCUUGCUAAAGUUGGAAGAGUUGCGAACGGGUGAGUAACGCGUAGGUAACCUGCCUACUAGCGGGGGAUAACUAUUGGAAACGAUAGCUAAUACCGCAUAACAGCAUUUAACCCAUGUUAGAUGCUUGAAAGGAGCAAUUGCUUCACUAGUAGAUGGACCUGCGUUGUAUUAGCUAGUUGGUGAGGUAACGGCUCACCAAGGCGACGAUACAUAGCCGACCUGAGAGGGUGAUCGGCCACACUGGGACUGAGACACGGCCCAG
RNAcentral lists this ribosomal RNA (316 nucleotides) under uncultured bacterium. RNAcentral describes it as "bacterial SSU rRNA". It matches the Rfam family "Bacterial small subunit ribosomal RNA", at positions 28 to 334 of the family's 1533-position model. The record is from RNAcentral.